GACGAACGCUGGCGGCGUGCUUAACACAUGCAAGUCGAACGGAAAGGCCCUGCUUUUGUGGGGUGCUCGAGUGGCGAACGGGUGAGUAACACGUGAGUAACCUGCCCUUGACUUUGGGAUAACUUCAGGAAACUGGGGCUAAUACCGGAUAGGAGCUCCUGCUGCAUGGUGGGGGUUGGAGAGUUUCGGCGGUUGGGGAUGGACUCGCGGCUUAUCAGCUUGUUGGUGGGGUAGUGGCUUACCAAGGCUUUGACGGGUAGCCGGCCUGAGAGGGUGACCGGCCACAUGGGGACUGAGAUACGGCCCAGACUCCUACGGGAGGCAGCAGUGGGGAAUAUUGCACAAUGGGCGGAAGCCUGAUGCAGCAACGCCGCGUGCGGGAUGACGGCCUUCGGGUUGUAAACCGCUUUCGCCUGUGACGAAGCGUGAGUGACGGUAAUGGGUAAAGAAGCACCGGCUAACUACGUG
This 468-nucleotide ribosomal RNA is filed under the name uncultured bacterium. RNAcentral describes it as "partial 16S ribosomal RNA". It matches the Rfam family "Bacterial small subunit ribosomal RNA", at positions 28 to 507 of the family's 1533-position model. The record is from RNAcentral.